This is a long non-coding RNA of Sinocyclocheilus anshuiensis, 401 nucleotides long. RefSeq lists it as uncharacterized. The record is from RefSeq and is a predicted model, not a curated record. The transcript is spliced from 3 exons. Lineage: Eukaryota; Metazoa; Chordata; Actinopteri; Cypriniformes; Cyprinidae.
GCUUGCAAGCCAGAUUAUAUUGGGAAUAAUCUCAGGGAGGAAGUGCAUAUUAUCAUGAUCUCCAUUAGCCACAGCAAGUGACCUGCUUUCCUCACAUAUUUCUGUCACCCACUGCCGUAGGUCUGUCUGCGUUUGGUCACCCACCCACUGCGUUUGAUCUGCUUUUUCCAGGUCCUCACCCUCUACAUCUGGAAUGAUGACACACUCUUCUGCAAUUCGGGCUUUCAGCAGUCCCACUGGCAGAUCAUCUUGAUGCAGUGUGCAACAUCAACGCGAACAAAACAAGGUGGCACUUUUGCAGACUGAUUACCAACAUUUGCACGACUGGGACACUUGAGCUUUCAUUACCUGCCAGAACGCCCUGAUAUAAGAAGACAUGGCCAGACAUGCCGUUUGGUCUC